GGGGGGGGGGGGGGGCGGGGGGGGGGGGGGGGGGGCGGGCGGAGGGGCGCGGCGGGGGGGGGGUGCUGGGGUGGCGAACGGGGGGGUAACACGUGAGUAGCCUGCCCUUGACGUUGGGAUAACUUCAGGAAACUGGGGCUAAUACCGGAUAGGAGCUCCUGCUGCAUGGGGGGGGUUGGAACGUUUCGGCGGUUGGGGAUGGGCGCGCGGCUUAUCAGCUUGUUGGUGGGGUAGUGGCUUACCAAGGCUUUGACGGGUAGCCGGCCUGAGAGGGUGACCGGCCACAUUGGGACUGAGAUACGGCCCAGACUCCUACGGGAGGCAGCAGUGGGGAAUAUUGCACAAUGGGCGGAAGCCUGAUGCAGCAACGCCGCGUGCGGGAUGACGGCCUUCGGGUUGUAAACCGCUUUCGCCUGUGACGAAGCGUGAGUGACGGUAAUGGGUAAAGAAGCACCGGCUAACUACGUG
RNAcentral lists this ribosomal RNA (468 nucleotides) under uncultured bacterium. Its description in RNAcentral is "partial 16S ribosomal RNA". The stretch from base 49 to 468 matches the Rfam family "Bacterial small subunit ribosomal RNA", at positions 39 to 507 of the family's 1533-position model. The record is from RNAcentral.